RNAcentral lists this ribosomal RNA (554 nucleotides) under uncultured bacterium. RNAcentral describes it as "partial 16S ribosomal RNA". It matches the Rfam family "Bacterial small subunit ribosomal RNA", at positions 355 to 900 of the family's 1533-position model. The record is from RNAcentral.
UAGGGAAUCUUCCACAAUGGACGAAAGUCUGAUGGAGCAACGCCGCGUGAGUGAUGAAGGGUUUCGGCUCGUAAAACUCUGUUGUUGGAGAAGAACAGGUGAUAGAGUAACUGUUAUCAUCUUGACGGUAUCCAACCAGAAAGCCACGGCUAACUACGUGCCAGCAGCCGCGGUAAUACGUAGGUGGCAAGCGUUGUCCGGAUUUAUUGGGCGUAAAGCGAGCGCAGGCGGUUUUUUAGGUCUGAUGUGAAAGCCUUCGGCUUAACCGGAGAAGGGCAUCGGAAACCGGGAGACUUGAGUGCAGAAGAGGACAGUGGAACUCCAUGUGUAGCGGUGAAAUGCGUAGAUAUAUGGAAGAACACCAGUGGCGAAGGCGGCUGUCUGGUCUGUAACUGACGCUGAGGCUCGAAAGCAUGGGUAGCGAACAGGAUUAGAUACCCUGGUAGUCCAUGCCGUAAACGAUGAGUGCUAAGUGUUGGAGGGUUUCCGCCCUUCAGUGCUGCAGCUAACGCAUUAAGCACUCCGCCUGGGGAGUACGACCGCAAGGUUGAAAC